RNAcentral lists this ribosomal RNA (426 nucleotides) under uncultured bacterium. Its description in RNAcentral is "partial 16S ribosomal RNA". It matches the Rfam family "Bacterial small subunit ribosomal RNA", at positions 355 to 774 of the family's 1533-position model. The record is from RNAcentral.
UGGGGAAUAUUGGACAAUGGGCGAAAGCCUGAUCCAGCAAUACCGCGUGUGUGAAGAAGGCCUUCGGGUUGUAAAGCACUUUAAGUUGGGAAGAAAAAACUUUACCUAAUACGUGAAGUCUUGACGGUACCGACAGAAUAAGCACCGGCUAACUCUGUGCCAGCAGCCGCGGUAAUACAGAGGGUGCUAGCGUUAAUCGGAUUUACUGGGCGUAAAGCGUGCGUAGGUGGUUUGAUAAGUCGGUUGUGAAAGCCCCGGGCUCAACCUGGGAAUUGCGGCCGAUACUGUCAGACUCGAAAACGGUAGAGGGAGGUGGAACUCCAGGUGUAGCGGUGAAAUGCGUAGAUAUCUGGAAGAACAUCGAUGGCGAAGGCAGCCUCCUGGGCCUGUUUUGACACUGAGGCACGAAAUCGUGGGUAGCAAACA